UAAUAAACCAGCUCUUGUCCUACAGUCCAGGUAGGGGCGCUGACUCUGUAACUGUGGUUCCAGUAACUCCAGAGAAGUGGAGAAGCAGAGAAUCCAUCCAGAGCUGUUUUAUGGAGAGACUACCUACUAUCUAUAGAUUCCAGUUAUAUCAGAAAAUUACUGAUUACCACUAGAGGGAGCCCGCGCGCAAGCAGAAAAUGAAUGGGGAUGAAUGGAUCUAAACGGCUAAAAAUACAUAUGGAAGCGAGUAACUAAUUUAGGAUUAGGUAUUGUGCUAAACAUACAAAGAAAACGUACAUAUAAACGUACAUAUUAUUGUAUGCUUGCUUUUCUACAGCAAACAGGUUUAUACAGUAAAGGAGCUAUCAUCACUGCUACAGUGUGCAUUGAGACUGGCCGGUGAGCUGGAGUGUUGGAGUUACAGAAAACUGAAGGCCAUCCACUUCCAACUCAUCGUCUGCUUUUAGUAUCAAGUAUACUUUGUGGAUUAACUUUAUCUUUACAAAAACACUUAAUUAGGCAGUUUCUGAAAGAUGUUGAGC
Molecule: long non-coding RNA, 542 nt
Filed under: Astyanax mexicanus (Mexican tetra)
Lineage: Eukaryota; Metazoa; Chordata; Actinopteri; Characiformes; Acestrorhamphidae
Description: lncRNA (ENSAMXG00005017925.1)
Source: RNAcentral